GACAAGACAAUAAAUAGAAAUGAUCAUCAAAUUAACUAUAAAUAGCACUAUAUACUAUUUUUUCAUACUAUCUUGAAUGACUAUCUAUCUCACACGCUCCCCUCCUAUAAAAGUUGGUAGAAGGAAAUUUACAUAAAUUUAAGAACAAAAUAUCCACUUAUGAACAUUGUGUACUUUUUGCCAAAAUAUCCAUGAGAGUAUCAUCCAAAUAAUGCAUUUAUUUAAGAACAAAAUUAUCCAAGUUAUACUAAAUAUUCAUCAUCAUUUGUGUCGCUGCAAAGUGGCAUUUUCUUACUGACAAUGAUGCAUUCUCCAUUCUGUGAUUGAGCUUUUCAUUAAAGUAUUUUGCAAAAGCACCUGCAGAAUAAUAACAUAAAUUGCAAUACUCAUAGUUAAGUAAAGAGGGUCAUAUUUGCUCCUUAAAUAUUAAAAAUAGUUUAACAUUGCCUUUUGUUAUACUAUCAUUUUAUAUAUGUACUUAUGUUAUAUAUUAUUGAUCUAUAUAUACCUAUAACCUAUAAAAUAAAAUAUCCUAAUAUUUUCAAGACUUUAUACUAUUCUAAAAACGCAGAAAAAUAAAAAUGAAGAUACAAUUAAUAAUUAAUUUUGCAUAACAAUUGCGUCAUUGGAAUAGAAUCAAAAGGUAAUAUUCAAAGUGUAUCGAUAAGAAGAAAUUCAUAGCCAUAAUUAAUACAUGUGUUUCAUUCAUUUUUCUCUAUCGUCCCAGAAUCUAUUGGAAAAAAAAAGACAUACUUUAUUCAAAUAAACUCAUACUCUUUAAGACAUUAGACAUGAUAUCCAAUUUAAUUAAAAGUAUCAAAAGAUGCAGCUACCAAAGAUACUAUUAUUAAUAGCAGCAAAACUUGAAGCCACGAAAGAUGCCAAUGUCAUGCAAUCCAUUAUCUGCGUUAAUAAUCAAAAGCACAAAAAUAAAAAUAAAAAUAAAAAUUAUCAAGAUAGCUCUAUUGGCAAUAUUUCAAUUCCUACUUAUAGAAUUAUACUGAAUUUAUUGUUGUUCUGUCUAUAAUCAAUUUUAAAGCACAAAGAAGAUAAAAUUAUAUCCAAUAGCCUUCAACAAUAAAAAACAUGCAAUACCACCAAGUGGCUUUAUUACAAAUUAUAAUCAUCUAUUUCAGGUUAGCAUACAAUAUUGAAUAGACAAGCUUAAAUACAUUCAAAUAAUUUUUAUUUUUGAAAAUAACAUUGUCAUUUCUUGUGAAAAUCAACAAUAUCAGAUUUUUUUCAAAUCGGUAUGGAAAUAGUAGGCUGACAAAUUUUGAAGACUACUAUAAUUAACUUUAAAUAUUAUGUAGAUUUUGAUUUACAUAGUCUCAUUUUUCUUAAUUUGAUACAAAGAUUUUUUAUCUUUCUGUUUUUGAGUCUCAUUUUUCUUAAUUUGAUACAAAGAUUUUUUAUCUUUCUAUUUUUAUCUUAUUAUUUAAUUUUUUGGCCAUAAGCAAAGAUUUUUUAUCUUUCUAUUUUUAUCUUAUUAUUUAAUUUUUUGGCCAUUAGCGAAUUUGAAUGGGCAAAUCUUAAGCUCAACCUUGACUUUUAUAGAUUUUUCAUUUUGCAGUUGGAUAUUUUGGGACAAUUUCUACCAUCUUGAUAUUUAGAAGAUAGAUUCAGGAACUCAUACUUAAGGGAUAGAUUCAAGAAGCUACACAAUGUUAACUAAAAAUUGAGCAGUAAAAUAAAGUAGCAUAAAAUCAUCACCGACAAGUCAUAUUAUUAAUUUUCUUUUAUGACUACAGAUAAAAAAGACAAAUAGCAUAUCAACACGCUAAUAUCUACAAACGCCAACAAAUAACAAAACACUGUAUUUUUAACAUUCUUAAUAAGUUAAUGAAAAUAUAUUAUUUGAAAAAGAAAAAAGAUCAAACAAUUAUUCCAGCAUGAAUUUCUUCUCUUUUGUUUUUAUACUUAAAAUUUUUAUUUUGUAAUUAGAUUGUCAGUAUAGACAACGAUUGAAUUGAAAAAAUCAAGUAACUUAAAAAUAUAUAUAAUCUAAUUUUAAAUUGGGCCACUAAAUAAAGUCUCUGACUUUUCCUUGCCAUCAUUAAUUUUGAUCUUCUAUACUAUAUAGCGCCGAAUGGUAACCUCAAAUGCCAAUGCAAAUAAAAAUAUAAGACCAUCAGAAUGUAUUAAUAUCGACAUAUAUAAAUAAUUUUCUAAAGCAAAAACUCAAAUUGUAAAAAUAUAAAAUUAAUUCGUAAUAAAAUUUACUUUCUAAACUAUUCAUUUCAUUGUUGGAGUUAGCUCAACUUGAUUUUUAUUAAUUAGUCAUUCCACGGAGAGUUUAUCCAACUAUUUAUUUCUCCAUAUUUAUCAUUAAGUAAAUAAUUUGCAUUAAUCCACGAUGUAUUGGUAAGUAUCCUAUGGAGAGAGACAAUAUUUUAAAUGAAACUAAAACAUAGCUUUCAAUUAAUAAAAAAUGCAAACGCUUUAUGUUUUGAUAAAUGUUGAAUAGAUACACAAAAUAAAAUUCAUAGAGGCUUACUGAAAAUCAAGAUGAAAUAAUAGGGACUACACUUUGUUAAUAGUUCUUUGUUCCAUAGAUAUGAAAAUAGCUCUUGAAUCACCAAUUUAAUUAAUUAAUAAAUCACUUUUUUUGUCAUACAAUCACAGCAACCACCAGUAUAUACAUUUUCUUGUAAUAGCAAUCAAUCAUUUAAUACUCACGAUUAGGCGUCCAAUAUAUUUCUAUUGAAUCCUCUUGAGCAGAUAAUUGCUUUUAUGUGAAUCUUGUAGUAAUUUCAGAUUGUCUUGUUGGAAUUUUUUAAAAAUUAGUAGGGGCUACACUUUGUUAAUAUCUCUUCGUUCCAUAGAUACAAAAAUAGCCCUUAACUCACCAGUUUAAUUAAUUAAUAAAUCACUUAUUUGUCAUACAAUCACAACAACCACCAGUAUAUACGUUCUCUUAUAAUAACAAAUAAUCAUUUGAUACUUACGGGUAGGUGUCCAAUAUAUUUUUAUUGAAUCCUCUCAAGCAUAUAGCUGCUUUUAUGUGAAUCUUGUAGUAAUUUCGAACCGUAUUGUUUAAAUUUUUUAAAAAUAUUACUGUAUUUGUUGAAUUCUUCAAAAUACAUGUCGAUAUUUUUCAAGAAUCUAGGCAAGACAAAUUUUCAUAUAUUUCAGUUUCAAUCUAUCAAUUACAACUUUAAUCGAAUUUUAGAAAUAAUAAAUCCAACAAAACAGGAUAAUCAAUAUAAAUAUAACUCCAUUCAUCCAUGUAAUUUAAAAUGCAAAAAAUUCACCAUGAAUUAUUUUGACUAUUUACUUUUUAUGUGUAUAUCUCAAAAAAUUUAUUUAUGUAUUUAAUUAUUUCAUUUUGCAAUAGUAUCUCUUGAAUCAACUUCUACUAUUUUUACAAAUUUUAAGAAUAGAUUCAGAAAGCUACACAAAAUUAACAUAAAAUUAAGCAGUUUAAUGAAGUAGCAUAAGUUCAUCAUCCACAAAUUGAAUCAUUACUAUCUUUUAUAACUACAGAUUGAGAAAAAAGAUAUAUAUAUAGUAGAAUAUAUAUUUUUAGAUGUUUUUAAUACAUUUUUAGAUGUUGUAUAAUUUGACAAAGGAAAAGAUCAAAUAGAGCUACUCUAUCUAUUAUGAUUUAAUGUGGGUGAUCAGUCUGCUUGCUAGAUUAAUUUUUUAAUGAAUGUUUUCACAUAUUAUAGCAGUACUUUGCACGUCUUUAUUUAAGGAAUUUAUACUUAUUUUGUAUAUUUUUUAAUUUAUGCGAAGUUUAAGUGAUCUAAGUAUAAAACUUAAUUAUAAUAAUAUUUCAUGAUUAAAUUAAAUGUAUUAUAAAGUAUCUCAAUUGAAAUUAAAUCGAGAAUUUCGAAGCUCUCAGCUUUGCUUGAAAUUAAAUGGAGAAUUCUGAGCUUCCUUUAGCUUUACAUUAGCAGGCAUUAUCAGAUAUCUGGAAUAAAAAAUUAUGCAAUCUCCAAACUUAUAUGACUGAAGAAAAUAAAUGAGAUAGAAAUUGCAUACGACCAAAUCAUAGAAGAUUGAGGAAGAGAAAUAAAAAAUCAGAAGAAGCAGGCAAAAAGAAAAAGAGAAAAAGGAUGAUGUUAUUUCAUGACUCUAUAUAGCUUUUUUCAACUGUGCAGGGUAAAUUCAAUCCAUGUUAGCUCUAACUAAGAUAUUUUUCUUUGUUGUUCCACUAUUCAUGAUUCCAUGUGUAUAAUAAAAAUAUAAGAUUGUAACGAAAAAAGGUAUCAUGAUAGAGUUAAAAUCAUGAUUAGAGUCAAUCACGAUAAAAGAAAUUUAAGACUUUCUCAUCUAUGUUUUAGUAGAGUAUCACAAUAUUAUUUUCUUAAACAAAAAUAUUAAAAAGAAUUGAGAAAUAAUGAAAACAUUAUAAUAUAAAGAACAAUUACAAAAAGUUAUUAAGCUUUUGAUGUUCUUUAUAGAGCUUAUAUUAUGAUCACCUUUAAAAUUUGCUUGUUGUUGACAGCUCUGUGAAUUUUUCUAAGCUCUAUGUCGUAUUCAACACAUGUUUAAAUUAAAUUUUUUAAAUUAUAUUUGAAAAUGCUUCUAAAUCAUAUUCUGAAAAGGCAUUAAAAUUUCAAAAAUUAUCUACGUUCAACUCGUAUUUGCAACACGUAUUUUAUAACAUGUGAAUUUGGUUAUAUUGCUUGUGAUCAUCAAUAUACUUGCGCUUCAUUUACUAUAUAUUCAAUCAGAUAGGAAAAAUGACUUGGAACAUAACAUUCUUAAGAGCACUAUUCUACAUACAGAAUCAUUCCUUCAUACCAUACUAAUAGGGGUACGUGAAUAUGUGUAUAGACCAUAAAUUAAAUGUAAACUAAAUAAAGCUACACAUAGAUAUUUUAUACUAGUAUAUAUGUGAUUAAUAUUCUGAAAUCAGGUUUGCAUCACCUUGAUAUUUAAUAUCUUGUUUGAAUGUCUUUCUUUGAUUUUCUUUUGUUUUCUAAAUCAGUUAUGGAUUGCCUUGUCUUCAUUCUAGAUUAAGAUCAGUAUUGUUUUGUUGUUCCAAAUUUUUUUUAUCUAUUUUAUACUUCUUCUCUUUGAAUGCAUACAAACAUGUGUCAAAGACUAAAGCUAUCAAGUAAUAUUAUAUAAAGAGUUUUAGAGAAAAUAGUCUAUUACCCCAACCUUUACCCCAAAUCUCAACUACACACUCAAUCUUUAAAGAUGACUUAUUACCCCUGAACUAUUUUAAAGUGAAAUUAUUACCGACAACCAGUCAUUUGAAAAUAUAGUGUGAUGCACGCGCUGCCACAUUAUGCCACGUCAUUGCCACAUCAUGCAAAAUAAUAACAUGGCAAUCAGCUGACGCGCUCAUGGGCGAUAUAAUCAUACCCGUUGACACAACAACAACUAGGGAGAUAAUAAAUUCGGUAAAAAUAAGUUUAGAGGGUUAAUAGGUCACCUUUAAAGGUUGAGUGUGUAGUUGGAAUUUGGGAUAAAGGUUUGGGGUAUAAACUAUUUUGAUUGCAAACACAGGUUAAUAAAUUUUAUGGUGUCAUCCUCUUUUCACUAAAAAUUUCAUCAAAUACAUUAAUUGUAUUAAGAUUCAAAUCAAUUUUCUUAUUACUGUUAUUUUUGUUUAAGUUGAUAGCAGUUAGGGUAUUGAGAUAGAAAAUUUUCAAUGAGGCAUACAUCUUAACAAAUAAGCAAAUGUAUGAUCUAAUUUGAAAAAAAUAUGAAGAAAGAAGGAAACUAAAUAUCAAAAUCAAAUCCUAUAAAAUCAAUAAAGGACUUUUCUUAACCCAAAAUUUCAACCUUUUUCGUCUCUUUGUAGGCAAAGAAAAGUCAUCAUAAUACAUCACCAACUAAGAAAAUUCUAGAAGAAUAUAGAGAAAAAGAAGAAGAUUUAGGUAAAAUCAUACCUCAAAUUAUAAGAAAUUAUUGAAAGUCUUUUCAAGAAUUAGACGAGUAUUCUUCUGAUCCCUUGGUAAGAAAUAUGUUUCUCGAGUAUGUCAUUCAUGUGGAGUGAAAUUAAUUGUUAAAAUUAGUCAUAUAUUUGUUCUGGAGAAAUUUUUAUAGAUGGUGAAAGACGAAAAGAUUUUUUAUUUUGUGGAUCUGAGGCAUUCAUAUAAUAAGAAAAGUACACAUGUGGUGAUACCUUCAGAUAUCAUCUGAAAUGUAAAAAGAAGAAGAUGGAUGGUUCUCGAGUUUUGUUAGGGUGAGAUUACUA
This 6160-nucleotide long non-coding RNA is filed under the name Capsicum annuum. Its description in RNAcentral is "long non-coding RNA (CANN_LNC004908)". Lineage: Eukaryota; Viridiplantae; Streptophyta; Magnoliopsida; Solanales; Solanaceae. The record is from RNAcentral.